RNAcentral lists this small RNA (401 nucleotides) under Histoplasma capsulatum var. duboisii H88. RNAcentral describes it as "Histoplasma capsulatum H88 hypothetical RNA". Lineage: Eukaryota; Fungi; Ascomycota; Eurotiomycetes; Onygenales; Ajellomycetaceae. The record is from RNAcentral.
UGCAAGCCCAGUGUCCAGCUUCUCCAUGUAUUGCUUGUGCGUCUGGAGCAGCAUUUGCAACGUCAUCCUCCAAUCACCAAAUGGGCAUCCACAGGAAAAAUUCAAGGCGCCCACCCCUAGCCUCGCGAUAUAGUAGUACAUGAGGGCUGUUCACAUCUUACUCAAGGCGGCGGGACAUGGGAAUCCUCCGAAGGUUUGUCCCUGGGUAUUCCAAACUCCCCAGCUUGUGCGAGCUUAUCACCAAAGGGAUUUGGUUCGGUGAUCGCCAGUUGAAGAUGUAACAGGGGAAAUCAGAAACUGGGAACAAUCCCACCAAGAAGACCUGAAAAAGCCGGCUGUGCUGAUCGACAAAAUGCUGAACGUGGUGAAAAGCUGUGGUGGAAAAGCUGUUGCAAGAUAUG